UCCGUUCAAUAUCGCGUAUUAGGCCUAUUUGGUACGGGUUGCACAAACUUUAGCAUUAGUGUAGGAUGGGUUGCGAAAGUGAUUUGUAAAUAAUCUCCAUUGUAGAUUGAUUGCAUUACCCCAGUAUUCUACCAAGCUGCAUACCAGAUGCAUAUAAAAUGCCAACCUAGACAACUGAUGUGAGAGCUAAGAUGUUCACAAAAACCAUCCACUGUUUUGGCAAAUCAAAACACAACUGUCUAGAUUGUAUAUUGUAUUAUAACUUGUACAUUACUGUGACAAAACUACUGUACAUGAUUUCAUUUUAUGUCCAUAAAUAAAACUAUUAUGCAGUUGAA
This is a long non-coding RNA of Schistocerca gregaria, 338 nucleotides long. RefSeq lists it as uncharacterized. The record is from RefSeq and is a predicted model, not a curated record. Lineage: Eukaryota; Metazoa; Arthropoda; Insecta; Orthoptera; Acrididae. The transcript is spliced from 2 exons.